AGAAGGGGACGCCUGCCUCUCAUUGUCACGGACUGCACAAUGGGGUUGGGGGCUGGGGGCUGCCCCUGUUCAUGGGAGCCUAAACUUCCGGGAGAAGGGAUAGAUGCCUGCAGCAGGAGCCUGGCUUCGGGCAUGGUGCCAGGCAGAGCUGGAGAGGAAUUGAGGCCCUUUAUCAGCAGCGGUGGGUUUUCCAGAUCUCUGCCAAGAGCCAGUGUGAUCUAAAAGGGGCUGGGAGUCCGGCAGAGCUAGAUUUUGAAGUCGCACUCUACCCUAUCACCUGUGUGACUUUGGGCAGAUCGCCCUGCCUGUCUGUGCCUCAGGCCUGCUCCUAUAAACUGAAAAUAGUCGUCACUACCCCGUACCGAUGAUCAGUACUCGAGACGGUCUGUCGAAGUCCUUAGCUUGGUACCUGGCAUGAAAUGAAAUGUCUAAGAAAUGUUAGUCCCUUCCCCACCCUCAUCUCCUUCCCUUCCAGCUCACUUCUGACCCCCCGUCUGGCCCAGCCUUGAGUGAGCAGAUCAGCGUGUGCAGGGGAGGUGAAGAGGUAUUUUAAUAUUAGCCCGGACAAAGCACAGCUCUGCCUUCCCCUAAGCCAAGAAUAUCAAAUCAACUGCCCUACCCUGAACAGAGAGCCGUUUCUGAUCGCUCCUGGCACACGGACAUGGUGAAAUGUUUGGAUCUCAGAAGGUUUUACUGCCCCGCCAUGUGCAAGAGCCAAGACUCCGCUGUCCCAUAUGGUGACCACUAGCCGUGGGCAACGAUGACAAGUACAAAAUAAUGAAUUAAAACUACACAUCCGCUUCCUCACUAGCCACACGUGGCUGGUAGCUACUGCAUUGGAUAUCACUGUGGAAUGUUCUAUUGGACAGCACUGAGCUGGAGGGCAUGCUAUACCACAGAACCUGAGAAGGAGGAGGAGAUAAAUUAGUGGAGGAGAGAGGCUUUGAAGCAAAUAUUGGCUCGCUCCUACUUGGACUCUCUACUGCCAGGGGCCUCUGAGGCUGGGCUGAGAAAGCUGCCCGGGUAGGCCCUGUGCUCCAGAGUUGGGUCACCUCCAGCCCUUACGGACAGUUUGCCCUGUAUGCCACGGCCACAACGCAGCUGUGAGUUGUGGCUACUUAGGCCCGGGGGAGCCACAACCGCCAUAAGACUCUUUAUCUGGACUCUCUUGCCACCCCUGGUGUAGAAAGCAGGGCCAUUCACGUGGCCGGCGAGGACACCACCUCCUCCCAGGUGCAGUCCUGCGUGUGACUCAGUCUCAGCUUACUUUGUGCUUAGCUGCAAGGGCCAAUCCCACCAAGCAGCCUGGCCUGGGCAAGCUGCGGGGCUCUGGAAUCAGCUUCGUUGCCAACAGCCUGGUGUGUGUGAGUCCUGGGCACCCCUGGACCUUGGCUAUCUGGCUCCAGCUCUGCUUUUCCAGUUUAUACAGUUUAUACGCCCUGCUUUACUUCCUGACGCCCUGACUGGGCUCGUUCGUGUCUCCUUACCCUUCUGCCUUUCUCCUCUGAGGGGCUGGGCUGGUUUCCAUGCUCCUAAGCAGUGGACUGGGAUCCUGCUCAGAACACAGACAUCUCCUAAAACGCCAGUUCCGGAGUCUGUCUGCUUUGAGGAUCAAACUGGCCUAAAGACAUCAGCAUUGGGCUGGGUCUUGCCUUGGAGUAGCUCAGCCUCCCUGCUCAGGAAGCUGUCGUUAGAGCGUGGUCCGCAGGCAUCAGGUUUCCGAAGACACUAGAACUGCCUCUACCGCCCAUUCCCGCCUCAGUCUCGCUCGGCUGCCAGCUGAGUGGUGGGGGUAUCCGGGGAGGUGUCUCAAGCCAUAAUGAACAAUGUGCUGCCCGUGUGAUUGUCGGGAGAAGCCCAAGGGACGGCCCGGCUGGGGCCCCCUCCCGCUUUCCUUCUCCCUGGUGCUGCUGCUUGGCCCUGCCUCUCCUGGGAUGGAUGGGAAAGGGCACGAUGUGGGGGCUGGACAAUGCUGUAGGCCAGUCACCGAAGUCCAGCGUCAGGCUCUUCAGGCAAAAAGACCUUCCUAGUUUCUAGAGCGGCUUCAGCGUCGGCCAUGAAGGUCACCGUACUUUCUCUGCGCCGCUCACCUCUGUGUCUCUCUCUCUGGUGGUUCCAACCUCUCUCUGCAUACCUGUUUCUUCCACAUGGAGGAACACGGCUGCCAAGGACUCCCAAGUCUGAUAUAUGGCAGGUUCCCUCACAGGACUCACCUCGAUCCUUGGUUUCCAAACCCAGAAGUCGAGAGAGGAGGCACACUGGCCCACUUGAAAGGGCAAGUGUUAGGUGAGAACGUGGCCGAUUCUGCAGUGGCCCAGGGAACGGGGCCAAAGUUCCCAGAGAAGGCAGGCGGUUUCUUAGGAGGCACGAUGAGGGGGCAGGUCUGACGGCGCCUCUCGGGCGGGGCAGGGGUUCACAAGGUGGCCCCCAGGCGUCUCUGCUGCUGAGAAGGCUCAGCAUAGGUGUACCGGCCUCGGGAAGGGAAGUGGGGUGGGCUGACCAAGAGGAUUUCUGGGACCUUCGCAUUGAAGUGGGCAUCAGGGGUGCCCUGGUGAACGAGCGUCCUGGAAGGAUCAUGGCUGUGGAGCCAGGGACCCAGGCGUGGUGCUGGCUGUACCACCUCCGCAAGUGACUUGGCCUCUUUUUUUUUUUUUUUAAGAUUUUAUUUAUUUAUUUGAGAGAGAGAGAGAAUGAGAGACAGAGAGCAUGAGAGGGAGGAGGGUCAGAGGGAGAAGCAGAGUCCCCGCCGAUCAGGGAGCCCGAUGCGGGACUCGAUCCCGGGACUCCAGGAUCAUGACCUGAGCCGAAGGCAGUCGCUUAACCAACUGAGCCACCCAGGCGCCCUGUGACUUGGCCUCUUUGAGCUUGACUGACAUCCCUAAGAGUUCGUGAGAGACGGCUUUCCCUGGCUUCACCAACCUGUGGCUACAAAUGAAAUUAUUGACAUUAAGGCCCCACCUUUGCUGCCUCAUAGCUCCCCGUCGUGAGGACCCCAGGCUUCUACCUACUCACAGAGCCCCCAGGGUACAUCACACGUGUUCAUAGUUGGCUAUUGCAUGAGUGGCCCUGGUCUGCGAGCCACAGAAGGGCUACAGGGACCCUUAUCCCAAACCCAGUGCCACCCCAGUGCCCUCAAGCCUAUGAUAGGGUGCCAGGUGGCAUCAUAUUUCCCUCAGUCCUUGCUGGACUGGAGCCACGGGAAUUGUAUGAAGAAGCAGGGAGAAGGGUUCUCUCACCAGAUCCAAAUCAUACUUGGUCACCGGGCCCCAAAACAGAGGGGCUUGUGAGCUUCUCUCACAUAACCCCCCAGGAAAGGCAGUUUCCCGGUUAGCAACGCCCCCUCCCUCUCCCUGAGGUUCUGACCCAGUCCUGGGAGCUGGGCUGGGGAAAGCGCAUCUUGCUCCGGCCUCCUUUUCUCCAGGAGCCUGCCUCCUGUGUACGCCCCCAUGCCCGACCUUCCUCUUGUGGAGGGAGGCUAGGAGGAGAGGACACGGUCCCUUCCAUGUGUCAGACUCAACCUGACUCUGAGUCCUCACUUAGCCUCCUCUGGAAAUGCCUUCUUCACCAGAACAGGAAUUCCCCCUUAGAAGGGUUGGCGUGUUAAUUACAGGAGCUACAUGAUGGGUGCUCGGCAAAUGUUCCGUUUCCUUAGGCCAGGUGUUCAUUAGUCUCCUUUUGGGAGGGCAGGGAUGAUGGCACCUCUGAUCUGCCAGGGGAGCAGGCCCAUUGGGGCCAGGAAGCAGCCUGGACUGGCCAGAUGAAGCCAGUGUAGGUCCAGCCUAGCAGCUCUUCUGUGGCUUUUUGGGAUGAGCUUCAUGGGUCCCAACAUGGUGCAAUCAGAGGUCCUGGCUGGUUGUUAGGUGUGUCAGAAUUUGAGCCAAAAGGUCAGAGAAGGUAAUCCUGGCUGAGAACUCAGACCCAAGACAGUGAGGAACUACCUUGUUUCCCCUGGAUGACCUCCUGCGGUGUGCAUAGCUGCCCAGCUGAAAACCAAAGCUCUGCCUCCCUCCCAGGCAGGAAUCCCCUCUGUGGCAGCCCAGCGGAUGGCUGCCCAGGCUCUGCUCGAAUGUUUCGGAAAGCAGGUCCAUCAAACAGGAAAAAAGUGUGCUCUCCAUUCAAAGACAUCUCCACGUGCUGGAAUGAUAAAAAUCUAGCAGGGGUAGAGGGUAAAAUAUUAAACUGCAUAAAGAUAGAAUGGAGAGCUGGUUUCCAGAGAGUCUCAAAAACAGCCUUGGGAAAGUGGGGACAGGUACCCAGUGAGGAGGGUGGGAGAGGGUCUAGGCUGAAGUCGCUGGGGGAUAUUUAGUAUCUCCCCCAGAGGAAGAUGUCUUUCACAGUGAGAUGUUCUGGGUUCUGGGAGCUAGGACUCACUGUCCCCCACCCUCUCCCCCUGUUCCCUGGAAAAGGUCCUCAGAGAAGGUUCUGGAUGAAUCACUCCUUCCCCAGCCAAAGUUGAGAACAGGGCAUUGACCCCUGAAGGGAGCACACAGAGGUGGUGCCCUUGGGGAGCAGGCAGGACAGAGUCAACUGGAAGCUGCUCCUAGAACAUUGAAGCUGGUGGUUUCCCAGAGGGGAUGGCUUCUGUCCUCAAGAAGGCUCUCAGAGCUGCCUUUCACCCUGGGACAUAAGACAGGGAGGUGUCCACCAGGACCUGCUGUCUGUUCAUCCAAACUUCACUUCCCACGAAGAGACCUAGAACCCAAGGAUUAGCUACAUGCACGCGUGCAAGAGCCUCAGCCACACCCUGGUAGUCCUCAUGCUCAUGCACACAUGUGGACCCUGACAUAUGCAUGCCACUUCCUUCCCAUCUUCAGCCACUCUUGUCCUGGACAGUUGAUGCAGGCCCAGGACUUCUUGUCCCCUCCUCCUCUGCCCUCACUGCCCCCCUCGCAGCCAGCCCCACCCCUGAGAAAGUACAGCUCAGGGGUCCCCAGGGCUGCACAGGAAAUGCUUUGCACACCACGGGUCAGCCAGGCUAUUUUCUGUCCCAGAACCGGAGGGGGGCUGGGCUGGGAGCAGCCACACGACAAAGUCGGCUCUUCUCUGCCUCUUUCUCUGGGCCUUUUUCUCUGCCUCUCCAAUUUGCCGUGGCUCUCUGUCUCCCCUGUCUCUAUCUUGUCUCUGGAUUUCUCUUUCCUUGGACCCACAGUCCUUUGCUUCCUUUCACUUGAUGAUUGCCUACAUGCCCUUCAAAACUCAGCUCAGUGCCACCCACCUCUUUCAGAAAGCUUUCCCUGAGCUCUCCUGUGCCGUCUGGGUUCCCCUCCCCUUCGCUCUCAGAGCUCUGCACCGUGUGCAUGUGUGUCUGCCUCCGGGCCAGACUGUGCAACAUGCGAGCACAGGCUGCGGGGGCUUGAGCCCUCUUGUCAAGGGCUAGAUCCUUGCGUAACAACGGACAGCUGCUGAACUGCCCUUUGAGGAGGGUGGUUGGGGCACCUGCAGGGCUUGCACCUUAGCUGGGUGAGCUGUGCAGGUUUGGGGCCAGAGCAGAAUUGCUUGAGACGGGGAGUCCACGGGGUAAGGGGCUCGGGCAAGAGGAGGAUGUAUUAGUGUCCUAUUGCUGCUGAAACAAAUUGCUGCAAAUUUAGUGGCCUAACACAACACAAACUUAUUUUUACAGCUCUGGAGGUCAGAAGUGUGAACCAUGCCUCACUGGUCCAACGUCGUUUCUCUCUGGAGUCUCUAGAGGAGAAUCCAUUUCCUUGCCUGUUCCAGCUUCCAGAGGCCACCAAAUUCCUUGGCAUGUGGCCCCGUCUCUUCUCUCCACCUUUACAGCCAUUUCCAGUCCUCGUGUCAGAUCACUUCGACAUCCACUUCUGCCUUCCUCUUCCACUUUUUAUGACCCUUGAUAGUGUAGGAUAAUCUCCCCAUCUUGAUGUCAGCUAACUGAUGACCUUACUACCGUCUGUAACUUUAAUCCACCUUUAAUCUACAGGUUCUGGAGAUUAGCAUGUGGACACCUGGACGGGGGCAGACAUCAUUCCACCCACCACCUUGGUCUACUAGUGUGGUGGGGAGGAGCCUGGGAUUAAACACAUCUGAUGGGUUUGGGGGAGGAUCUUGCUGUGGGGUGUGUACGUCCUCUGUAUUUCUUACAAAAUCUCCAGCACCUGGACACUACGUGUAUUUUCCUGGGGGUAGAUGUGAAGACAGGCAGACUCUUGCUUCAAGGGUUGGCCUGAGGAAAAACCCCAGGCUUCCCACAACAGAAAGGGCCGGAGGCUGGGUUACACAUUCAUUCACUCAAGCUGUAUGCGCCAGGCUGGGAGUACAGGCUCACGGCCCCCAAGCCAUUCACAAGCUCCUGGGGGCGGCAGGUGUACGAACAGGUGAGAUCACUCUAGGGUAGGAGGUCAGUCGUGAGGUUCUGCACAGGUGGGGUACGGAAGAGACCUUCCGCUUCAUCUGGAGAGAGAAGAGGCCAGGAAGACCCAAGGAGGUUGCACCUCAGCCUCAUCUGAGUUUUGCAGGAUGAAUAGGAAGGAAUUCGCCAGGUGAAGAUGGGAAAGUGUAUUUCCGGCAGCCUGGACUGACUGUCAGAGCGAGGACAUGGAAAUGAAGAUACAAGCCAGCAUGAGGGGGGCGUGGGGGUGUGUGGAACUGUAAGCAUAGGUCCUGGCACAUUGGAAAUAUUUCUGGAAGGAGUACUUCAGCAUUCAUGCUGUCCCGUCUGUGUUUCUGGGCAGGUCUUGGCCCUGCCAGACAUCACGGAAUAGGAGACACCUCCUUUUGUGGAAGCCCCCCCAGAGUUGCCAUGACUUACCCAAGAAGUUUUUCAGGGUCUUUCCUUAGGAAAAAGGGGCAAGUUUAUUUCAUAUCUGAUCUCCAAUGUAAGAAUAACUCUUCAUAUCUGAAGAAGAAUGCAUCAUGCUUUACUGAAUCAUUUGUAAUGUCUCAACUGAUCUUUUUUUUUUUUUUGUCCCAGCUGAAGAAACUGAGGCUCAGAGAAUUGGUGAACCUUUCCCAAGGCCCCAUGGCCAAGGUCCCACAGCUGGACUCCAGCACACCUGCUUCUCAGCCAGGCCCUGAGCGGCUGCUAACUGCUGGGUCCCCUUCCGUCUGGUGUCGGGGCAGCUGGGAGCUGGGCCUGGAUUGCUGAGUGCUGCCCAGGACUCUUCUCCUCCUCUUCCCCAAAGGGUUUUCCUGAAGGUGGAAGUGGGUCCUGCGGCCCUGGAGGGUGUGCAUUGUUCAGCUGCACCUGGAGGGUGAGCUCAUGUCAGCAGACAGGGCAGGGAGGGCAGCGCCAGGCAGGGGAGGGCCUGAGCAGUUCCCUUGGCCCGGGUCCCUGCCUCCACCUUUGCCUCCUCUUCCCAGGAGCGGGUCCUUUCCCCGAGUCCUGGGCUGACAGUCAGGAGGCCAGGGACCCAGUGAGGCCAGGAAAGUCCCUCAGUUUCCCUGCCUGAAAAUGAGGGUUGAGUUAGAUUGGGCUUUCCCUGUCUGCUGAACAGUACUCCUACAGAAUAUUCUCCAAGAAAAGGGUUGCAUGGUCAAAUGAGGGAAAACCUGGUGACCUCUUCUGCUCCAGUUGGUGCCGCAGGAAGAGCCUGGGUUUUGGGACCAACAGCCAGAUGUUGCCACUUAGGAGCUAUGGCUCAGGCAGGUCGAUUCCUGAGCCUCAGUUCCCUCAUCUGUAAAAAGGCACAUGAUAAAACUCAGUAGAAUCAUUGCAAGGACUUGAGACAUAUAUGAUUUAAAGUACUUGGUGUAUAGUAGGCACCCAAUAAAAGAUCAUUGUAUCAUCAUCAGAUCCCUGUGCGAGCACUAUGAGCCCUUCACUAGAUGGACUCCCUGAGCGCAGGGAUUGUGCCUUUUAUCUUGUCAUCCUGAGCACAGCUGCUGACACAAAGUAGAUGCCAGGUAGCAUUGUUUGAUGAAGAUGGAUGGACGGAGCCUGGCAGCUGGUGUGGAGGGCGGGAUGGUGGGGUGAGACUCCCUGUCCCCACACUGGAGACAGCAGUGUGUCUCAUGGCUCUGCCACACUUUCACUGCAGGGGCUGAGGCAGAACAAGUCUUCAGAGACCUGAGAGAGUCUUGCCCUGUGCAAAACAGAGAAAAGAGAAACUUUUGAUUUUGGACAUGUGACUUGGAAGCACCAGAUGGGUCCAGGAGAGAGAGACGGAACUACUUUUGUGUGGAUCUAGGAGUCUGGCCCAAGGGUUAAGUACAUGGAGAGAGAUUUUAGCUCCAAAUAUGAUUAGAUUUUUGGGACUAGGCUGCCUUUGAAGGUGAUCGGAAUCCCCUUGAUGGAGCUGUAUGAGCAGAAGCUGGCCAGCCAUUGGUCGGUCCAAAGGCCAGACCACAAUCCAAUACCUGGUUGGGUCGUGUAUCAGCUUUUUCUGCGUAAUAAAACUUCAAUGGCAUACAGCAAUAAGGAUGCCUGGCUCACAGGUGGGGAGUACACUGGGGUGGGCUAGGCAGCCCUGCUGAUCUUGGAUGGGCUCAGUCUGGGAGUUGCUGCCUCGGCUGGGGUGACUGCCGUGGCUUGGCUCUGUUCGGCGUGUCUCUCAUCCUCCCGGGCUAGUGCAGGCAUGCUGUCUUGGCUGUGGUAGAGAUGCAAGAGAGCAGAGGCAAACAUGCAAGACCGCUGGGGGCCCAGGCUCAAAGAUGGCACACAGUCAGUUCUGUUGCACUUUGUUGGUCAAAGCAGGCCACGAGGCCAGCCCAGAUUCAAGAGGUGGGGAAGCGGAUUCCAUUUCUUUAGUGAGGAAAGCUACAA
Long non-coding RNA from Mirounga angustirostris (Northern elephant seal), 8716 nucleotides. RefSeq lists it as uncharacterized. The transcript has 3 exons. NCBI's taxonomy places the organism in Eukaryota, Metazoa, Chordata, Mammalia, Carnivora, Phocidae. The record is from RefSeq and is a predicted model, not a curated record.